UUCAACAAGGUGCCCUCAACCAGAGACAAACAAGGAGGAGGCUAAAAUGGAAGGGGAUGCUAAAGACUCACACAGACUGAAGAAGUAUAUAUUGAACUUAACCACGGCCUAUUUUUGCAAGUCUUGAUGAACGUGCUCCACCAAUAACAUUUUGUGAUAGAUUGAAGACAUGCUAGUUCGAAACAAAGGAUGCAUAUGAAGGACAAUUCAAAAUCCGUGGAGAUUGAAAAGACAAAAACAAG
Molecule: long non-coding RNA, 242 nt
Organism: Eucalyptus grandis
Lineage: Eukaryota; Viridiplantae; Streptophyta; Magnoliopsida; Myrtales; Myrtaceae
Exons: 3
Source: RefSeq, a predicted model, not a curated record